AUGGCAGGCUGGGCAGGGCACUUCCACCACAGCCAGUUCAGCCCGUGUUCAGAGCUGCAGCCUCAAGGGUGCCCCUUGCCUCCCUUUCCCUGUUUUCUCUACCUUUGUCUCCACUGGAAUCCUUGGUUCCACUGGAAUGCCCUGGAAUCCUGCACAGGUGUCCCAGCUGCUUUGUCUCUCUUGGAUUGCUCACUCUGCACAAGGCCAAGAGCAAACACACUUUGCUAUUCCUCCGAACCUUGCCCCUGCCAUUCCUGCUUUUUUCUCUGCUUGGAAGAUUCCUUCACUUCUGUCAGCUUUGGAAGAUUUUGUGGGCUUAAGACCAGGCAAACCCAGUCAGGCAGAGAAGACAGUGCUGUUGUCACUUUGCAGAGCCUCCCUCAUCUCAAGGAGGACAUUCAUCUCCUCUCUGACGCCUUGGAGUUCUUCCUUGUGCCUCCUCUGCACUGCCAGCAUUUCAUUGUGAGCUUCCUGCAGCUCAGCUUGCAGCUUUGCCUUGAUGGUCUGGCAACAAAAUGCAGAGCGACUUCCUGGGACCUGCCCUCAGGCUCAGAUUUUUGCACUUGCUGUCUCCAAACCCCAUUCCUUCAGCCACUUCUUGUGGCUUCUCGAUCCAGCUCUGCUUGCACUGCAAGCCCUCCUUCCUGGCCUGAGCUCUGGAGCUUACCAGGCUCUGUGCUCCCACAGCCUGAGGCAGCCCUUGCCCCCUCAGUCCCAGGAGCUGCCUUUUGUGCCCUUGUCCCUGCCCUGCACUCCAUUCCCUGCCUACUCAGACUUACCUGUCCCUUCUCUUGCUGCUCUUUCACCUCCUGCCUGAGCUGCUGGACCUGCUGGCACGCUUGGCUGAGCUGUCCCCGAGUUUGGAGCAGUGUCUCUGUUAAAGCCCUCUUCUCAUUCUGCUCUUCCUGCAGCACCUGCACAGAAGCAAAGAGCAGAGGGUUUCACACUUGCCUGCAACAUCUGUGUGGCAAGAGGCAAAGACGGAUGGGCUCACGCGCCCUCAGAGCACUUGGCUGCUGCUCCCCUGGGCCACUGUCUGCCCUGGGGAGCCACAGCUGCCCAGGAAGUGACUUAAAACACAGCCCAGAAGACAUCUCUGGGUUCCUCUUCAGAAAUACUCCAGAUGAGUCGUUAAAUAGAUUUUUCUCAUCCUUGUCAGCAUUUCUGCUUCACACUCCCUGUGCCCACAAAAGUCCUACAAUCUCACUUUGGCACUGA
This 1218-nucleotide long non-coding RNA is filed under the name Cyanistes caeruleus (blue tit). Its description in RNAcentral is "lncRNA (ENSCCEG00000018007.1)". Lineage: Eukaryota; Metazoa; Chordata; Aves; Passeriformes; Paridae. The record is from RNAcentral.